RNAcentral lists this ribosomal RNA (492 nucleotides) under uncultured bacterium. RNAcentral describes it as "partial 16S ribosomal RNA". It matches the Rfam family "Bacterial small subunit ribosomal RNA", at positions 29 to 507 of the family's 1533-position model. The record is from RNAcentral.
AGUGAACGCUGGCGGUAGGCCUAACACAUGCAAGUCGAACGGCAGCACAGUAAGAGCUUGCUCUUACGGGUGGCGAGUGGCGGACGGGUGAGGAAUACAUCGGAAUCUACUUUUUCGUGGGGGAUAACGUGGGGAAACUUACGCUAAUACCGCAUACGACCUACGGGUGAAAGCAGGGGAUCUUCGGACCUUGCGCGAUUGAAUGAGCCGAUGUCGGAUUAGCUAGUUGGCGGGGUAAAGGCCCACCAAGGCGACGAUCCGCAGCUGGUCUGAGAGGAUGAUCAGCCACACUGGAACUGAGACACGGUCCAGACUCCUACGGGAGGCAGCAGUGGGGAAUAUUGGACAAUGGGCGCAAGCCUGAUCCAGCCAUACCGCGUGGGUGAAGAAGGCCUUCGGGUUGUAAAGCCCUUUUGUUGGGAAAGAAAAGCAGCAGGUUAAUACCCCGCUGUUCUGACGGUACCCAAAGAAUAAGCACCGGCUAACUUCGUG